This 80-nucleotide transfer RNA is filed under the name Armillaria novae-zelandiae. RNAcentral describes it as "tRNA-Asp". It matches the Rfam family "tRNA". Rfam says of the family: Transfer RNA (tRNA) molecules are approximately 80 nucleotides in length. Their secondary structure includes four short double-helical elements and three loops (D, anti-codon, and T loops). Lineage: Eukaryota; Fungi; Basidiomycota; Agaricomycetes; Agaricales; Physalacriaceae. The record is from RNAcentral.
UCUCUGGUAGUAUAUCGGUUAGUACACGCGCCUGUCAUUUAAUGGCGCGCGAAAGCUGGGUUCGACUCCCAGCCAGAGAG